This 660-nucleotide long non-coding RNA is filed under the name Ananas comosus (pineapple). RNAcentral describes it as "long non-coding RNA (ACOM_LNC009646)". The record is from RNAcentral. Lineage: Eukaryota; Viridiplantae; Streptophyta; Magnoliopsida; Poales; Bromeliaceae.
ACCUUAGCACACUUAAUCUCUUUGGCCUAACCAUCAUCUAAAAUACUAUAGCCAGCUUAAGAGGUUUAGUCUUAUUAUAUUUCAUAUCUAUGAAUAUUCUAAAUCCUAAGGUGAGUCUUAGUCGAUUUUGUGGAGAGCUGCGCUCCACCCACAACUAUUCUCACCCGUGCAGCCGCACUCUGCCCGAUGUAUGACUCUGACUCAGCUGAGAUUCAUCUCACACCUUCGAGUGGCGAUUGACUCUGAUACCAACUAUGGCACCGUGCUUCUCAGGGGAUUACUCAUCCUAGAAUUAUUCUAGGCCUUAAUACACUUAACCCUUUUAACCGCUUAUGCCUAACUAUUGUUAAAUAUAUUAUAGUCUGAUUAAUUAAGAGACUUAGCCCUAUUAUAUCUCAUAUAUAAAACUAAAUUUUAUGAUGCCACAGUAUAUUUGAAAUAUGAUAAAGAGAAAUGAUUGUUAUGGGUUCAAAAAUUCAGGUUCGAAUUUGGUUUUCAAUAAAAGGUUCUAAAACUCAUCGGAUUCGAUUCCAGAUAUGAAUUCAGAUUUUGAUUUUGGUUGCCAGAUACGGAUUCAAAGUUUUAAAAAUUUGCUCCGCAUGCGACCGGUUGACAUUCCUGUCCUCAAAAAUAUAUAAAGUUAAAAGUGUCAAAGUACUA